Long non-coding RNA from Neofelis nebulosa (Clouded leopard), 660 nucleotides. RefSeq lists it as uncharacterized. The record is from RefSeq and is a predicted model, not a curated record. The transcript has 2 exons. Lineage: Eukaryota; Metazoa; Chordata; Mammalia; Carnivora; Felidae.
GUGUGGAAUAUAGAGUUCCUUAGGACACAGCAGUGUUCUUUCUGAGCCUCAGGGAGAGUUCCCAGGCACUUACGGUUUCAAGUUCUCUAUAGACUUUGAAAGACCUUAAAAGACUCAGUCUCUUCCUAUCAGUCUUGGCUUCUUCACUUCUGAAAUCCUGUUCUGCUGUGGUUUGAAUAAGAAAGUACAAUGCAGGUAUUUACCAGUUCAAGACUGUGUUAUAAGAGUUCUUUUAUCAGUCAGUUGAUUGUAAUGAAUUAUCAGCUUGGCUUAUAAAAGCCUAUUCGGCCAUUAUGAAGCCCUACCUUCUGUUGCUAACUAGAACCUAACCACCACUUAUGACACUGCUUUUCUUCCAUCCAAAGUUUUGAAGACUAGUGUCAGAGAUGAAUUUUCUACCAACAGGCAAAUGACAGAAAAUACUGAAGACUAAUCAUUUCUUGGGCCAAGUGGAGGCUGAAAGACAUCAAAGUGCAGUGAAAGAAAUAAAGAUAAUCACCAGUAUCUGCAUUAUUAAAUAUCAAUGAAAGACUUUUCAUUAAGCAAUGUUUUUUUCAUUAUUUUACUGAAAAGCAUUAAAUUGACCAUUUCAUUAAAAUAGCAUAUAGUAGAUAAAGAGAGUCAGUUGUUAAAAAGAAAGAUAAACAACAGUGAUAAUUA